GGUCAAGCGAAUAAGCGCACAC
Molecule: ribosomal RNA, 22 nt
Filed under: uncultured Xanthomonas sp.
Lineage: Bacteria; Pseudomonadati; Pseudomonadota; Gammaproteobacteria; Lysobacterales; Lysobacteraceae
Description: partial 23S ribosomal RNA
Source: RNAcentral